RNAcentral lists this ribosomal RNA (301 nucleotides) under uncultured bacterium. RNAcentral's name for it is "partial 16S ribosomal RNA". It matches the Rfam family "Bacterial small subunit ribosomal RNA", at positions 509 to 807 of the family's 1533-position model. The record is from RNAcentral.
CAGUAGCCACGGGAAAACGAAGGGGGCUAGCGUUGUUCGGAAUUACUGGGCGUAAAGCGUACGUAGGCGGCUUUGUAAGUUAGAGGUGAAAGCCUGGAGCUCAACUCCAGAAUUGCCUUUAAGACUGCAUCGCUUGAACGUCGGAGAGGUGAGUGGAAUUCCGAGUGUAGAGGUGAAAUUCGUAGAUAUUCGGAAGAACACCAGUGGCGAAGGCGGCUCACUGGACGACUGUUGACGCUGAGGUACGAAAGCGUGGGGAGCAAACAGGAUUAGAUACCCCCGUAGUCCCUGUCUCUUAUAC